This 57-nucleotide transfer RNA is filed under the name Leptotrombidium pallidum. RNAcentral describes it as "tRNA-Glu". The record is from RNAcentral. Lineage: Eukaryota; Metazoa; Arthropoda; Arachnida; Trombidiformes; Trombiculidae.
CUCUCUUAAGUCUAAAAAGAUUUUCGAUUUUCAUUCGAAAGAGCCAUUUGGAAGAGA